RNAcentral lists this ribosomal RNA (543 nucleotides) under Scaptomyza vagabunda. RNAcentral describes it as "partial 16S ribosomal RNA". It matches the Rfam family "Bacterial large subunit ribosomal RNA", at positions 1806 to 2621 of the family's 2925-position model. The record is from RNAcentral. Lineage: Eukaryota; Metazoa; Arthropoda; Insecta; Diptera; Drosophilidae.
AACAAAAACAUGUCUUUUUGAAUUAAAUUUAAAGUCUAACCUGCCCACUGAAAUUUUAAAUGGCCGCAGUAUUCUAACUGUGCAAAGGUAGCAUAAUCAUUAGUCUUUUAAUUGAAGGCUGGAAUGAAUGGUUGGACGAAAUAUUAACUGUUUCAUUUAAAUUUUUAUAGAAUUUUAUUUUUUAGUCAAAAAGCUAAAAUUUAUUUAAAAGACGAGAAGACCCUAUAAAUCUUUAUAUUUUGUUUAUUUUAAUUAUAAAGAUUAUUUUUAUUAUAAUAAAUUAAAAUAUUUUAUUGGGGUGAUAUUAAAAUUUAAAAAACUUUUAAUUUUUAAAACCAUUAAUUUAUGAGUAAUUGAUCCAUUAAUAAUGAUUAAAAAUUUAAGUUACUUUAGGGAUAACAGCGUAAUUUUUUUGGAGAGUUCAUAUCGAUAAAAAAGAUUGCGACCUCGAUGUUGGAUUAAGAUAUAAUUUUGGGUGUAGCCGUUCAAAUUUUAAGUCUGUUCGACUUUUAAAUUCUUACGUGAUCUGAGUUCCAAACCGGA